UACGUAGGGUGCGAGCGUUGUCCGGAAUUACUGGGCGUAAAGAGCUCGUAGGUGGUUUGUCGCGUUGUUCGUGAAAACUCACAGCUCAACUGUGGGCGUGCGGGCGAUACGGGCAGACUGGAGUACUGCAGGGGAGACUGGAAUUCCUGGUGUAGCGGUGGAAUGCGCAGAUAUCAGGAGGAACACCGGUGGCGAAGGCGGGUCUCUGGGCAGUAACUGACGCUGAGGAGCGAAAGCGUGGGGAGCAAACAGG
RNAcentral lists this ribosomal RNA (253 nucleotides) under uncultured bacterium. RNAcentral describes it as "partial 16S ribosomal RNA". It matches the Rfam family "Bacterial small subunit ribosomal RNA", at positions 524 to 776 of the family's 1533-position model. The record is from RNAcentral.